UUCCCAUUCCGAACACAGAAGUUAAGCUCUUUUACGCCGAAAGUACUUGCAGGGUACUGCUGGGAGGAUAGGUAAUUGCCGCUU
This 84-nucleotide ribosomal RNA is filed under the name Clostridia bacterium. Lineage: Bacteria; Bacillati; Bacillota; Clostridia. The record is from RNAcentral.